CUCCUCAGUCGGCCGCUCAGGCUGCGGCUCCUCCCGGGGCCGGUUCCCGCUGUCUCAGCCGCGGCGCAGAGGGCACAUCGGCCUGACCGACUAGCCGGCUGCCAGUGCCGGGAGCCGCCGCGUCCAUCCCCGCCCGCCUGGCCGGGGACCCAGGACUGAGUCGUCCAGCUGCGCCCCUCGCCCAUAGCCCCAGCGGGCGCCGGGCGGGCGAGCAGCUCUUCGGCCCUUCCCGGACAGCGACGCAGUCGCAGCGCGCGCCCUAACACAGAUGUGGGAAGAUAAAUGAAGGGGUCUAGAUGUAAAUGUCAGUGGAAAGGAGAGCUACCAUCACUAAGGUAUGAAAAUGUUCACUGAAAGAAUUUGCACUAUACAAAAUAGUCUUUUGAGUGGAAAGCAUCACCCAUUUUUGUGAUUCUGUCUUUAAAAAUGUAGAAUGAAACUACAUGAGUUAUUAAGUUCUGUUCUAGAAGAAAGUGUGUAUUGAAGUUGUGAUUGGAAUGGAUUCACUUUAAACUAGAAAUAGCUUUUUAUUGCUGAAAUGUAAUUUGCUCAUUUUUGACUUUAAAAAUGUUAAGUAAAAUAAGGUUGAAAUCACAGAGUUCUUAAUACCCUUACCCUUGUUUUUCUUUUCCUUCUGUUAGAGUUCAGCUGAUUUUUACCUUGAUUUUCAUUUAUAAAGAACUUUAGUUAAAAAAUAAUGGCAAGUCUAUCCUGUUGGUCUAGCUUACUAAAUUCCUUUACUUCUUUCACUAAAU
This 755-nucleotide long non-coding RNA is filed under the name Homo sapiens (human). Its description in RNAcentral is "non-protein coding lnc-LRRFIP2-2:2". The record is from RNAcentral. Lineage: Eukaryota; Metazoa; Chordata; Mammalia; Primates; Hominidae.